Molecule: ribosomal RNA, 373 nt
Filed under: uncultured organism
Description: bacterial SSU rRNA
Rfam family: Bacterial small subunit ribosomal RNA
Source: RNAcentral
CGUAGGGUGCAAGCGUUGUCCGGAAUUAUUGGGCGUAAAGAGCUCGUAGGCGGUUCGUCGCGUCGGCUGUGAAAACCCGGAGCUCAACUCCGGGCCUGCAGUCGAUACGGGCGGACUUGAGUGUUGCAGGGGAGACUGGAAUUCCUGGUGUAGCGGUGAAAUGCGCAGAUAUCAGGAGGAACACCGGUGGCGAAGGCGGGUCUCUGGGCAACUACUGACGCUGAGGAGCGAAAGCGUGGGGAGCGAACAGGAUUAGAUACCCUGGUAGUCCACGCCGUAAACGUUGGGCGCUAGGUGUGGGGGCCAUUCCACGGUCUCCGUGCCGCAGCUAACGCAUUAAGCGCCCCGCCUGGGGAGUACGGCCGCAAGGCUA